This 30-nucleotide non-coding RNA is filed under the name Rattus norvegicus (Norway rat). Lineage: Eukaryota; Metazoa; Chordata; Mammalia; Rodentia; Muridae. The record is from RNAcentral.
UAUUGUUUACCUUUUAAUGGGUUCUGGGUC